Molecule: ribosomal RNA, 1211 nt
Filed under: Prevotella sp. AN 5135
Lineage: Bacteria; Pseudomonadati; Bacteroidota; Bacteroidia; Bacteroidales; Prevotellaceae
Description: bacterial SSU rRNA
Rfam family: Bacterial small subunit ribosomal RNA
Source: RNAcentral
CCGAAGCUGGCCUCAAAUUCGGACGAAAGGUUUAGCGGUAAUGGAUGGGGAUGCGUCCGAUUAGCUUGUUGGCGGGGUAACGGCCCACCAAGGCGACGAUCGGUAGGGGUUCUGAGAGGAAGGUCCCCCACAUUGGAACUGAGACACGGUCCAAACUCCUACGGGAGGCAGCAGUGAGGAAUAUUGGUCAAUGGGCGAGAGCCUGAACCAGCCAAGUAGCGUGCAGGAAGACGGCCCUAUGGGUUGUAAACUGCUUUUAUGCGGGGAUAAAGUGAGCCACGUGUGGCUUUUUGCAGGUACCGCAUGAAUAAGGACCGGCUAAUUCCGUGCCAGCAGCCGCGGUAAUACGGAAGGUCCGGGCGUUAUCCGGAUUUAUUGGGUUUAAAGGGAGCGUAGGCCGUCUGAUAAGCGUGUUGUGAAAUGUACCGGCUCAACCGGUGAUGUGCAGCGCGAACUGUUGGACUUGAGUACGGUGUAAGCAGGCGGAAUUCGUGGUGUAGCGGUGAAAUGCUUAGAUAUCACGAAGAACCCCGAUUGCGAAGGCAGCUUGCUGUAGCGUAACUGACGCUGAAGCUCGAAAGUGCGGGUAUCGAACAGGAUUAGAUACCCUGGUAGUCCGCACGGUAAACGAUGGAUGCUCGCUGUUUGUCAUUUUGAUAAGCGGCCAAGCGAAAGCAUUAAGCAUCCCACCUGGGGAGUACGCCGGCAACGGUGAAACUCAAAGGAAUUGACGGGGGCCCGCACAAGCGGAGGAACAUGUGGUUUAAUUCGAUGAUACGCGAGGAACCUUACCCGGGCUUGAAUUGCUGAGGAAAGAUCCAGAGAUGGUGAUGCCCUUCGGGGCCUCAGUGAAGGUGCUGCAUGGUUGUCGUCAGCUCGUGCCGUGAGGUGUCGGCUUAAGUGCCAUAACGAGCGCAACCCCUUUCUUCAGUUGCCAUCAGGUAAUGCUGGGCACUCUGUAGAUACUGCCACCGUAAGGUGUGAGGAAGGUGGGGAUGACGUCAAAUCAGCACGGCCCUUACGUCCGGGGCUACACACGUGUUACAAUGGCCGGUACAGAGAGCAGGUCGUAUGCAAAUACGAUCGAAUCCUUAAAUCCGGUCUCAGUUCGGACUGGGGUCUGCAACCCGACCCCACGAAGCUGGAUUCGCUAGUAAUCGCGCAUCAGCCAUGGCGCGGUGAAUACGUUCCCGGGCCUUGUACACACCGCC